UGAAGAGUGACGUAAUUGAAAUGAUUUUGUAGGGUAGGGUUUCGAAGUCAUAUUCGAUACAACAUACCUUUUGACAUUUGUUAAUUUAUUGGAGCCGUGUCGAACUUAAGUUUGACUUAACAAUGAUGACUCUAUUCAGAUUAGACAAAUGUACUCAUCUUUAUAUCUCUAGUCGAUGCAAGUAUUUUGUUCGACUUAUUAGCCCACUUUCUACAACGAAAUUCAGAUGAUAGUGCUAGAAGACAUGAUCGGAGAUCAAACACUAAGUUAUUUUGCACAAUAUCAUGUUUAUUUCUUAUUGGCUUCAUGUGUUGGGCAACCAUUUUCUACCUGCCACCACCUCACAAGUCACACAUAAUGUUAUCGAACUUCAAACAUUUGAACAAAAUACCUAACCAAAUUCAA
This 405-nucleotide long non-coding RNA is filed under the name Olea europaea (common olive). RNAcentral describes it as "long non-coding RNA (OEUR_LNC015535)". Lineage: Eukaryota; Viridiplantae; Streptophyta; Magnoliopsida; Lamiales; Oleaceae. The record is from RNAcentral.